UUUUUCUUUAUUUUACUAUUUUCUACAUUGUAGAAUAAUACAGAAGACAUCCCAACUAUGCAAUAACACAUAUGGAAUCAUGUAGUAACCAAAAUAUUUGUUAUAUUUGAGAUUCUUCAAAGUAGCCCCCUUUACCUGGAUGACAUAUUUACACACUCUUGGCAUUCUCUCCACCAGCUUCAUGAGGUAGUCACCUGAAAUGCAUUUCAAUUAACAGGUGUGCAUUUUCAAAAGUUCAUUUGUGGAAUUUCUUUCCUUCUUAAUGUGUUUGAACCAAUCAGUUGUGUUGUGACAAGGUAGGGGUGGUAUAUAGAAGAUAGCUCUAUUUGGUAAAAUACCAAGUCCAAAUUAUGGCAUGAACAGCUAAAAUAAUUAUUUUUGAAGUAGUGGAUAUGUUCAGUAGUGAAAACGAUUGCAGUUAAGAUCAAUAACAUGUGUGCGCGCUCUGAAACGAUUGACUGCGAUCAUCAUGCGCGAGAGGCUAACCAACUACCAAUGAACUAUCUAGCCAGCUAAUGUGCUCCUAUACAAACCGACAGUCCAGGUGUCAAUAUCUGAUAUUUUCAGCAUGACAUGGUUAACGUUAGCUAGCUAAAAUGACUGUUGCGUUAUUCCGCCUCAUCGGGUGAUGAACUGGGCUUGAUGGAUCACAAAAUGGAGCAAAGACCUCCUGCUGACGUUACCGAUGUUCCAGGUUGAGGAGAGGCUGACAGAGUGUUUGACCCUGCUGGGAGGGAACAGCUUGCUGAGGUCCCUGCUCAUCCGUCAUGUCCUGUCUGAGAUCAACCGGCUAGCAGAGCACGUCUUGAUCACCUGCCAGGGGGAGAGCAGUGAGGGGUCUGUCCAGGUUGACGUGUCCCAGUAUGAAAACUCCUCCUACCUGGUCUGACUCCUGGAGUAGCUCCUACAUGGACCUCCAGGGGCCGCAGUGGGGCCAGGACACCAAUGGACGUAGGAGCAGAGGGCCCUGCUGGGCAGCCUGGAACACAGCGUCCUUCUCCUGUCUGACUUCCCCUGUUUAGCCUACAUGUGGAGGAUAGGGGCUCUCCUCGCCCCCUCUGUUCCAGGAACGAGCAUGGCGCCACCACGGCCACACAGGCGUGUAAUUCCACCUCCAGGAUGUUUCCACUUCAAAGGGCUGCAGAAGUUGGUGCAGAUACAGUCAAUUUGACUGACAUGACAGGAUUGAAGAGACAGGACUUAACAAACUGGAGGAGGUGGUGGGAGGUGCGUUAUUCAUUGAGGUUGGCUACCUCUUCAGAAGAAUAAUCUAUAAAUAGUAUGGCACUAAACCAAAGCCUGUCAUUAUUCUUGUUGGGAAAAGUGUGGCAAUUAAACAAUAAGACCCGAGGGGGUGUGGUACAGUAUAUGGCCAAUACACCACGGCUAAGGGCUGUUCUUAAGCACAACUCAACACGGAGUGCCUGGACACAGCCCUUAGCCGUGGGGGUUUGUGAUAUCAGGGCGGCAGGGUAGCUUUCAGCCACUCAGCAUUCAGGGCUCGAACCACAGUUUAUAAUGUGAAAUAGACUAUUGUGGCUGGCAUUAGAAUUACAAUGGAAAGCAUUGCAUUUUUUAUGAGAAUUAUAUAUUUUUUAUUUACAGACUGUGUGAAUGUAGAAUGGAUAUACUGAGUGCUGUAUGAGCAGGAAUAUCUUACUGUAAAGAAGGUAUGUCCGGAAAGUUUUUAGGCAUUUACAUUUUCAUUUGUUGAUUCUAUUAGCAAGAUGUAGUGAAGCAAUUUUACAAAUGGAUUUGAAAAUAAAUAAAAUCCAAAAUGUUCAUAUUCCAGAUUGUAUCCUUGAUUCAAGUCCAUGUAAAUAUUUAGUUACUGGACUUUGAUAUAAGUGUUUAUAGAAAUAUGUACUGAUAUUUAAGACAUGAUUGUAUAGAGAUUGUCAGUGACAUUAGAGUCUGACUUGUUGUAGUGUUCUAUAGAAGGGAUACAGUAAGUCUGACUUGUUGUAGUGUUCUAUAGGAGGGAUACAGUAAGUCUGACUUGUUGUAGUGUUCUAUAGGAGGGAUACAGUAAGUCUGAUUUACUGCCAUGUUCUAUAGCAGCGAUGGCUGUGUCCUAACAGACUGAACAGGUUAUAUUAGUGCUGCAUGACCCUCCCCAGUUUGUUAUCCUCUUCUAAAUAGCUGUGGACGGGAGGUGAGGCAGACUGCCUGUGAUGACUGCCAGCUCUGCUAUGUUUGCCCCGGCUGUAACCCAGU
Long non-coding RNA from Oncorhynchus tshawytscha (Chinook salmon), 2217 nucleotides. Lineage: Eukaryota; Metazoa; Chordata; Actinopteri; Salmoniformes; Salmonidae. The record is from Ensembl.